RNAcentral lists this ribosomal RNA (447 nucleotides) under uncultured bacterium. RNAcentral describes it as "bacterial SSU rRNA". It matches the Rfam family "Bacterial small subunit ribosomal RNA", at positions 331 to 793 of the family's 1533-position model. The record is from RNAcentral.
CCAGACUCCUACGGGAGGCAGCAGUGGGGAAUAUUGGGCAAUGGGCGCAAGCCUGACCCAGCAACGCCGCGUGAAGGAAGAAGGCUUUCGGGCUGUAAACUUCUUUUAAGAGGGAGGAGCAGAAGACGGUACCUCUUGAAUAAGCCACGGCUAACUACGUGCCAGCAGCCGCGGUAAUACGUAGGGGGCGAGCGUUAUCCGGAUUUACUGGGUGUAAAGGGAGCGUAGACGGUUCUGCAAGUCUGAAGUGAAAGGCCGUGGCUUAACCGCGGAACGGCUUUGGAAACUGUGGAACUGGAGUGCUGGAGAGGCAAGCGGAAUUCCUAGUGUAGCGGUGAAAUGCGUAGAUAUUAGGAGGAACACCAGUGGCGAAGGCGGCUUGCUGGACAGUAACUGACGUUGAGGCUCGAAAGCGUGGGGAGCAAACAGGAUUAGAUACCCGGGUAC